CCCCUUUUCUUGGGGCCCGGAAGGACCUAUAUGACGAGUGCCGUCUUCGGGCGGCUAUGGCAAUAAACGGGCGAUGCAAUAAACCCAUUGGACCCGGGGGCGGUACCCGGCGCCUCCACCAAAAACCGGUCUCUUCCGAGCACUCGGACCGGCUUUUGAUGGGGGCGAAAUAGGAUCGACAAGGGUGUAAAGAUCGACUUUUUGCUCGGCAUUGUACCACCGUUAUCGGGCUAAACUUAUAGUUGCAAACGACAACUAUGCUGAAGCACGUCUCGCUGCCUAACGGCGGUGCGGCACUUCAAAUCAAGCCCUUCCGGGUAGCACCGUAAGGCGGGGUCCGAAGGCACCUGGCAACAGAAGCCUUCACC
RNAcentral lists this transfer-messenger RNA (368 nucleotides) under Sinorhizobium kostiense. It matches the Rfam family "Alphaproteobacteria transfer-messenger RNA". From Rfam's summary of the family: Bacterial tmRNA, also known as 10Sa RNA or SsrA, is named for its dual tRNA and mRNA-like properties. Lineage: Bacteria; Pseudomonadati; Pseudomonadota; Alphaproteobacteria; Hyphomicrobiales; Rhizobiaceae. The record is from RNAcentral.